GACGAACGCUGGCGGCGUGCCUAAUACAUGCAAGUCGAACGCUUCUUUCCUCCCGAGUGCUUGCACUCAAUUGGAAAGAGGAGUGGCGGACGGGUGAGUAACACGUGGGUAACCUACCCAUCAGAGGGGGAUAACACUUGGAAACAGGUGCUAAUACCGCAUAACAGUUUAUGCCGCAUGGCAUAAGAGUGAAAGGCGCUUUCGGGUGUCGCUGAUGGAUGGACCCGCGGUGCAUUAGCUAGUUGGUGAGGUAACGGCUCACCAAGGCCACGAUGCAUAGCCGACCUGAGAGGGUGAUCGGCCACACUGGAACUGAGACACGGCCCAGACUCCUACGGGAGGCAGCAGUAGGGAAUCUUCGGCAAUGGGCGAAAGUCUGACCGAGCAACGCCGCGUGAGUGAAGAAGGUUUUCGGAUCGUAAAACUCUGUUGUUAGAGAAGAACAAGGACGUUAGUAACUGAACGUCCCCUGACGGUAUCUAACCAGAAAGCCACGGCUAACUACGUG
This 508-nucleotide ribosomal RNA is filed under the name uncultured bacterium. Its description in RNAcentral is "partial 16S ribosomal RNA". It matches the Rfam family "Bacterial small subunit ribosomal RNA", at positions 28 to 507 of the family's 1533-position model. The record is from RNAcentral.